GAUGAGAACUUCAACCAAUAUGUUGAAUCUUUGGACAUUUGAGCGUUUUUUUUUUAUUAUUAUUUUUUACUUUGUUUUAGUUCUUAUUUUUAUUUUCUUAAGAUCCAAGUUAAUGGAUUUUGUUGAUGUCUUUGUCUAUUGUGACUUGUAGUUUGUGAAAAAUCAAUAAAAAAAAAAAAAAUCUGAUGUACAAUAUUCAAAGCAUGUGUAAAUAUAUAGAUUAACUUGUUUACUAAUGUGGUUAACUACAUUAAGUGUUAAUUGUAAUGUUUUACUAUAAUAAUAAAAGUUAUGUUUAUUUGUUUAUUCAGAUGAGGAAACCUAUUGAAGAAAAUGUUGUAAAUGGUUUACAUUCCUUUGGUCUAUUCUUCUCAGAUUGUGAAUGGAACAAACUUUGUGGUCAAGGUGUUUCUUGGUGGAAGGGAUGAUGGAGUGUGUAUUCAUGCGAAGAUACAUCAGGCUCUUGCCUGUAAUGGAGGAAAACUGACACUGUCUAGAUUCCAGUUUCCUAAAACCUUCGAUGAACCUCUGAAACCCUUCUGAACACAUCUAACCAAAUACCGAAACAGUCUUAUCAAAUAACAGACACAUGAAUGAGCUGCCGUAUCUGCUGAAAUCAUUUCAUUCUUCAAUAUUAAACUCUGUAUUCAAACACUCAAGUGUCAGUGUGUACACUGAAAUAAAUUAACAUAAAUAUUCCUCGUUAUCACACAUUUUUAAAAAAAAUAAAUUAUUUUUUAAGUGAAAUUUAAAUUUCAAAAAUUACAUUUUAAGAUUUUAUCGACUUCAAUGACUAAAUGAGUUGUUUGUUUUUUUUUUAUGAAAUGUCAUACAAAAGCAAGAGGUCUGUGUUUGUCACAUUUGUUUUUCUUCUAAAGCGUUCCUUGUACAUCAAUAGGACGAUUUUUAUAACACAAUCUCUCUAACAUGAAGAUAACACACUUCUGUUUAGCCCGUGUCACAACCAUGAGAACUGCUUUUUAAUUGUGAGAUGAUGUACAUUAUUUUUAAUAUCCUAAACUCUCAAACUCUCAACAUAUCCAUGUCAUAUCUUACCACAAAAUGACUAGAAAUAAAUGGGUUUAUAUAAGGUGACCAUACUAUUUAAGUCAAAAAUGUAAUUGUUAUGCACAAUGUAUUUAUCAUGUUCAUGUUGUACUGCAAAUCACUUUUGCUGCAAUUGAGGUGGAAUACAGUUAAAGGGAUACUUCACCCAAAAAUGAAAAUUCUGUUAUCAUUUACAAACCAUCAUGUCGUUCCAAACCUGUAUGAGUUGCUUUCUUAUGUUAAACAUAAAAUAAGCACAUUUUAGAGUGGCUUUUUAUUGUGGCCAGCCUAAGGCACACCUGUGCAAUAAUCAUGCUGUCUAAUCAGCAUCUUUAUAUGCCACACCUGUGAGGUGGAUGCAUUAUCUCGUCAAAGGAGAAGUGCUCACUAACACAGAUUUA
Molecule: long non-coding RNA, 1448 nt
Organism: Cyprinus carpio carpio
Lineage: Eukaryota; Metazoa; Chordata; Actinopteri; Cypriniformes; Cyprinidae
Source: Ensembl